ACGCCUAGGUUGUUUCCCCCGGUGCCCUCACAGUUAGUUAGUGAACAAAAAGAGUAGUGUUUGGGUUGUGUUCUCUUGAGUGGUUUGAAAAGCCCGUACGACUGAGGCGCCGUCGGCAUUUUGACUGAAGAGAUUUUUAGGGGGGAGGGAUUUCGAACAUAACAAAUUAAGCCACGACUUAUUGGAGUGAAGCGGUCAGCCACAUGCAGUGAAAUAUGUAAUUCUGGUUUUCUGGUGGGGGGCAAUACAGUACUGACUCCAGCAUUGGCAGCUGACUGUUCUCUCUAUUGCUGAGAAAUUCGUGAUUUUUAAAUCGAGCACGUGAAACUCAACUUCCUGGUUGCCGAUGAUCGAUCAGAUUGAAAUGAGGAGGUUUUCGUCUGUCGAGAAGUUCCUGAUACUGAGUUGUCUUUCUCUAACGACCCUUUUUGUCUACUGUAUCCUUAUCAAUGGAUCAUCAGACAGUAAAUUGAAGAAGAUGGCUCCUGAAACCAGAGGUGUGAAGAAUAAUGCUUCCUCUGAAGAGUCCGUUCAAAUGAAUCUCAGCGUGGGCUUCUGGGUUUCUGUUGCCGGCAGUGGACAAAAUAGAAGUAAGCAAAAAAAUGCUCCUAAUGCUUCAGAGGGGACAAGUGAACCAAUCCAAAUGGAAGCACCAUUCCCAGGAGAUCAGUAUGCCACAGAUUACACCUAUCUUCAUUCAAAAUGUCCUGAAAACCUGAGGGCACGAAUGGCAAAAAUACCUGAGUAUAAAGGUGUCUUUUUGGGAACGGUACCCCUCCUGCAAUGGAAUAAACAUGCUACAGAACGGGAGUAUAAAAGACUGAGCAGAUAUAAUGGAGCUCAUGGAUGGGAGGUAAUCAGCUAUGAAGACCUGAAGGAUGCCCUGAGCUACCUUAACACCUCUGCAAACAGCUUCAUGUUUGAUGACUGGGAGAAAAGACCAAACAAGACCUCAGACUGCAUUCGUUGUGCAGUAAUUGGAAAUGGUGGAAUUCUGAACGGUUCUCAGAUGGGCAAGGAAAUCGAUCAGCAUGACUAUGUAUUCAGAGCAAAUGGAGCCAUUACUAAAGGAUUUGAGAAAGAUGUAGGAACUAGAACAUCAUUUUAUACAUUUUCCACAAAUACAAUGAGGAAUUCUCUAAAUGCAUAUCGCACUUUGGGAUACAGUGGUUUACCACAAUCUAAGGAGACGAGGUAUGUUUUUCUCCCAGACCACGACCGUGAUUACUACCUGAUAAAAGCUGCCAUAACGCACACACCCAUAGAGAAGGGAUCUGACAAAUCCAAUAAGCCACCUACAUUUUUUGGAGAAAACACUGGACCUGAAAAAUUCAAGAUGUACCACCCUGACUUUAUUCGAUACGUUCGAAAUAGGUUUCUACGGGCGCACAUUUUGCAGACUCCACACCGUAAUAUUUAUCGCCCGUCCACUGGUGCGGCAAUGCUCUUGGCUGCCAUCCAUUCCUGCGAUGAGAACCAGAUGCAGUGUCGAGCAUACUAUGCCAAUUGGAUGUCCUCUCCUGCUGACAGUAAUUUUCCAUGAAAAAUCCCAAAAAUGACCUAGACUUUGGUGCACGGAGUACAAAAUCAAAAUUUGCAGGUAACGAAAAAACUUGGAAGAAUUGUGAGGAGGAUGGUGAUAGAUUUCAAGAGGACAUAGACAGGCUGCUGGGAUGGGUGGAAACAUGGUGGAUGAAAUUUAAUGCAGAAGCAUGUCUCUCAGAAUUCUCCGAGCUGUCCCUCCAAGUGGAUCCCACAGAAUCUUGCCUCUGGAGUUUUGACAUUCUACAUGGGCCCAAUUGUUCUGUAUUUUUGAAGAACUAUUUCCCCCCUCAGGAAAAAUGACUGGAUUUGAUGGGGGAAUGUCACCACUUGACUCCCAUUGGAUGUGAGUGUUCCGCUGGAUUUCAACUAUUAUUUUGGAGAUCAGAACUUACUUAUGCACUCACCAGGACUGUCUGGAGUGGAACUUGAGCCCACUAACCUUCUGAUUUAGAGGCGGAGAAUACUAACUAAGGCUCAAACUCACUCUGCUUAAUGUACUGCUAGUGAUAAACUAAAGCAUGAGUAAGUGGCAAAUCAUGCAUUCCCCAUUUGGUCAUGCCCACACAAACUGCUGACAUAGCUUUAGUGGGCAGACAAUUCUGCCCUUGAACUUCAUUUUGCAUAGCAGUUGUUGCUGGUCUUCCUGAUAAAACUUCCUUAUUGUGUAAGAGCUAAAUAUGGUGUGAAGGCGAAGUCAGUGCAAUGAACAGAUGAUUUUGAAUGUGUCUUGGUCACUCUUAGAGAAACUUGAAACUGCAGAUACAAACUAUAAAUAAUUUAAUUGGCAAACGUAACAGAUUUUUUAAUUUCUCAGUUGAAAUCAGUUUUCUAGCAUUUAGCUCACUUAACUGUGUUCAGGCAUAUAACAUGAUUGAAAAGUGCAUUGAUCAUUUGAAAACUGCAGGUAUUCACCAAGUUUAUUUUGCCAGCACUUCCCAACCCUGUGACUUCUGUCACAAGAAGAACCAGAGCAGCAAGAUCAUGUCAAUGUCAAGAUCCCCAAGUCACCUACCACCUUGAUAUGGAAAUGCAACCUUUAUCAUCAUUGGGUCAGAAACCUGGAGUUCUCUGCAUCAGGGGAGCAUCAUCAGCACAAGAACUGCAGACGUUCAAGGAGAAAGCCCAUUACCAGGGCAAUAAACGGCAGCCUUACCAGCGUUCCCCACAUCCCAAGAACCAGUUUUUUUUUAAAUGGAGGUGAUAUUUCUCUGCAAAAAUCAGUGGAUGGGUUUCAAUCCUAUUCAAUUGAAUAGAUACUCAUGGAAGAUAGCCAAAGAAGAUCUGUUUUUUUCCAACAAUAGAAACUGUAUAAUUGGAAAGUGAGCUCCGUCAAGGAUGCAAGUACUUAACUCCAGUUUUUCUGAGAAAUGCUGUUGCAGAAAAGCUGAAAAAUUUUGUCUUAUGUUCAUUUGCUUUGAUUUUAGCACAUUAAUCUGACAUUCAAAAGUUCAGACACAUUUCAUAUUCUUGUGGGAAGUGCUGAUUAAUUGGAAAUAAAAUGGAUUAGAUUUUCAAAA
RNA transcript from Carcharodon carcharias (great white shark), 3062 nucleotides. It is a transcript of the gene named alpha-N-acetylgalactosaminide alpha-2,6-sialyltransferase 2-like, with no coding region annotated. The transcript has 13 exons. The record is from RefSeq and is a predicted model, not a curated record. Lineage: Eukaryota; Metazoa; Chordata; Chondrichthyes; Lamniformes; Lamnidae.